GCACUCGUAGCUCAAUUGGAUAGAGCACCUGACUACGGAUCAGGAGGUUGUAGGUUCAAAUCCCGCCGAGUGCGCCA
RNAcentral lists this transfer RNA (77 nucleotides) under Rickettsiales bacterium. RNAcentral's name for it is "tRNA-Arg". It matches the Rfam family "tRNA". From Rfam's summary of the family: Transfer RNA (tRNA) molecules are approximately 80 nucleotides in length. Their secondary structure includes four short double-helical elements and three loops (D, anti-codon, and T loops). The record is from RNAcentral. Lineage: Bacteria; Pseudomonadati; Pseudomonadota; Alphaproteobacteria; Rickettsiales.